This 440-nucleotide ribosomal RNA is filed under the name uncultured bacterium. Its description in RNAcentral is "partial 16S ribosomal RNA". It matches the Rfam family "Bacterial small subunit ribosomal RNA", at positions 338 to 795 of the family's 1533-position model. The record is from RNAcentral.
CCUACGGGAGGCUGCAGUAGGGAAUAUUGCUCAAUGGGGGAAACCCUGAAGCAGCAACGCCGCGUGGAGGAUGAAGGUUUUCGGAUUGGAAACUCCUUUUGGUAGAGAAGAUAAUGACGGUAUCUAACGAAUAAGCACCGGCUAACUCCGUGCCAGCAGCCGCGGUAAUACGGAGGGUGCAAGCGUUAAUCCGAAUCACUGGGCGUAAAGAGCGCGUAGGCGGGAUAGCAAGUCAGAUGUGAAAUCCUAUGGCCUAACCAUAGAACUGCAUUUGAAACUGUUAUUCUAGAGUAUGGGAGAGGUAGGUGGAAUUCUUGGUGUAGGGGUAAAAUCCGUAGAGAUCAAGCGGAAUACUCAUUGCGAAGGCGACCUGCUAGAACAUAACUGACGCUGAUGCGCGAAAGCGUGGGGAGCAAACAGGAUUAGAUACCCGGGUAGUC